Molecule: ribosomal RNA, 482 nt
Filed under: uncultured bacterium
Lineage: Bacteria
Description: partial 16S ribosomal RNA
Rfam family: Bacterial small subunit ribosomal RNA
Source: RNAcentral
AUUGAACGCUGGCGGCAUGCCUUACACAUGCAAGUCGAACGGUAACGGGCCUUCGGGUGCCGACGAGUGGCGAACGGGUGAGUAAUACAUCGGAACGUGCCCGAUCGUGGGGGAUAACGAGGCGAAAGCUUUGCUAAUACCGCAUACGAUCUACGGAUGAAAGCAGGGGACCGCAAGGCCUUGCGCGGACGGAGCGGCCGAUGGCAGAUUAGGUAGUUGGUGAGAUAAAAGCUUACCAAGCCGACGAUCUGUAGCUGGUCUGAGAGGAUGAUCAGCCACACUGGGACUGAGACACGGCCCAGACUCCUACGGGAGGCAGCAGUGGGGAAUUUUGGACAAUGGGCGCAAGCCUGAUCCAGCCAUGCCGCGUGCAGGAUGAAGGCCUUCGGGUUGUAAACUGCUUUUGUACGGAACGAAAAGCCUUCUUUUAAUACAGGAGGGUCAUGACGGUACCGUAAGAAUAAGCACCGGCUAACUACGUG